UAAUUUUUCUGUGUAUCUUCUUGUAAAUGACAAUAUAAUGUAUAAUGUUGUAGUUUGUAGCCCAGAGUAAUCUAUAGUACCGGUACUAUAGCUCAUAGUUCCCUGCUAAAUACACUCAAAUGGGAUCUAAUGCAUGCAUAGCGUGAUAAUAAGACGUAAUUAUGAGUCAGUCAUCUUGUAGGAUCUCCAUGCACUAUUCUUCUGGGGUACAUCCUAGCAAACUGGUCAAUCACAAUGGGGAUGUCCAGUCAUUCUAGUGUUAGUCAUUGCUUCUCAGUAUCUCUCAGUGGAGCAAGAGGUGACUGAGAUAGUGCAGAGGAUCUAUUAUGCAUGCAAUUAGCAUUACAUAACAACAUUGGAAUGGCAAUACUGAUUGCACAUGCUCAAUUGGGCGUGGUCAUGACUUGUAAUCGUUGUGUCAAUGAGAUAGAGCUGCACAGUUAGCUAGCUAGCUACUGAGUGAUACGAUUAGUUUCAUGGUUGUCUGGGAGGACAGGGGGGUGCUCAAGCCCCCAAAGCCCCCCAUUGUACACGCCACUGGGAAAUGAUCGAUGAACAGAUUGGUGUGAUCGACAAACCGAUUGGCAAUGAUUGAUGAUUGACCUGCCAUCCCCAUUCUGUCAUGCCUGAGUGGCGCUCCAUAUAAGCAGAGAUUGAAGAGAGAGGGAUAUGAAACUUGAUGACGUGUACAUACAAUCUGUGUUGCCCAAAAUGGGCGUGGCACAUUGUCUCUUUACUGCAAGUUCUAUGUAAAAUCAUGUAAAAUACUUUGUGGGACUGUAUCUCUGGACUUGCUGCUACAUAUAGAACAAAGUUGAUAUUAAAUGCAAGAGUGGACCUUUGGGAAGUGCAACAGCUCAUCAACUAAGAGCCAAGAGACAGCUUGUUCGAUCACUUCAACUUUUUUGACCUCUUGUACUUGUCCUGGAGCAAAAUUUUGCAAAAUUGUACACUAAAAAUCAAUUAUACUUUCAGCAUCAGAGCGAUCUAGCCUUUGAGACAGGCACAAGUACAUAGAAUACAUAGCUAACAUUAAAACUCAUCACUGAACCAUCUUAUGAAAACCAACUUGCUUUCUGCUACAGUCCCACAAAGGCUAGUAUAGCCAAUAAACCAGGGAAUCUGGCGUUCUGGAUUUUAUUGCCACCAAAUAUAUUUUAAAACAAUCUGUGGCUAGUCAAUUAUAUGAUAAUAAUUCUUCAAGUGAGUCAUCCAGCUUCCCAUGGGCCUGUUUUGUUUUAUUUACAAAUUAAACCGCCAUUUUUAUAGCAACACGGAGUGCCUAAACUUUUUACUCUGAUUUACAUUGAGCACAUAAGCUCACGUGACUAGUUUCAUAUCCCCUUCUCUUCAAUCUCUGAUGAGUAAGCUACAGAGUUUUUCAGGUUGCUUGCAAAAGUUGAAUUGUGGAAAUUUGACUCGCGUGUGUUUUGCUCACGUGCCUCAGCCUUAUAAGUCAAAAUUAAAGUGGGCAGGGAGUACAGGCAUUGUAGCUCGAUUGUAGCUAGCUAGCUGAACAACACACAUUCAAAGCUUUGUACUAGACUUUAAGUUGCUAGACCCUCAGAGAAGAAGUGAGUGGGAUCUUAGAUCUGUAGUGUAGUAUUACUUGCUGGAGAGCAUAAUUCACCAGCAUACAUACAAUAAUAAUUGAAUUGUGUGUAUGCUGGAGAAAUCCUAUAUGCUCUCCAAUAAUAUAUACUGCAAUCCUAGAAUCCUAUAGGCUGGCUCCCAAUUCUUCUGUUUUACUGCUGAGUUGAGUAUUUUCUGGGGAUCUGUCUUUAAAAAGUCUAGACGAACCUGUAUGAAUUUGACAAAAUAUAUUACAGUGUCAGAUUAUCACUCCCUUCAUUUGUAUGAACACUGAACAACUUCUAAAAUUGUGCUGUUUUUUGCUAUCAUUUCUCUCCCCCACCCACUCUUAUAAGCUAAUUAAGGCUAAGGCACGUGAGCAAAACAUCACGUGAGUUAAAUUUCCACAAUUAAUUGUUGCAAAAACUCUGAAAAACUCUGUAGCUAGCUAGUGAGCCAGCCAACAAACUAUUCCAUGUGGUGAUCACUCAACUCCAAAUAAAGAUCACCAUUAGGUCAUUGAGAUAAGAGCCAUGUGCUUCCAGAGAUGUGCUUCAGCUAGCCAUGUGCUUUUAUAGAAAAGAAGUUGAACUUUUGUCUGGAUGUAGGUACCUAGUACCUAGUUUGGAGAAAAAUAGAGGUGCAUUCAGGGCCACAAAAAAUGCUGCAGAUUUCAGAUGGUGGUGUUUCGAGCAAUGACUAUUUGUAGACACCAAAACGACUAGAAAGAGGAGGAAAAACAUAGUGUGAGCCAUGCAGUAUGAUGUUGAUGUAUUUUUAAACGUUUGUUUUUAUAAAUACGUAGUGUCUCCCCUAGCCUCGACUCCAGCCCCUUGAAUAGUGGGCCUGGUAUUUACUGUUGGCGCGUGGGUGGACAAUUAAUUUAUUAUUUACCGUAUUUUAUCUCAUUGAACGUUAAAACAGUAUUUUAUCUUAUUGUGAUAAAGAACAAAAAGGAGAGGCUACCUCUCUGUAUAUACUGUAGACAGAGACAGCUAAGUAAAACAUCAGCUCUGUAGAUUUAUUCAUUAACUUGAGGCUCGGAUCGGAUACACACUCAGGCGACAAGUUAAUCUUAGUUAAACCUGUGGGUAAAAAAUAAAUGUGGAUAAGUACAGUGGCUGUGACGUAACAUAAUGUGAGGACUACUUAUUGAUUUACACAAUAGAUUUACCAUUGAAAGCACUAUCCAUUAAUACACACUCAAGCAACAAGUCCCUCGGAUCGGAUACACACAAGUCCCUCGGAUUGUAAACACAUUCAGGCCACACAGUUCUCGGACCAGAUACCACGUACUUACUCUGUGACCAAUUUUCGGCAAAUGUCACAACAAUACUGCCUUCCAGAGAGAAUGGCACUGAACGUCGAACAGACACACCAACACUUUGAAGAUGGCUUCACUCAGAGAAACAAGAGGAGAAAUCACCAUCACAACACUUCUUUCAGAGAGAGGUGCACUGGUCCUGUCAAGCUUCACAUCAAUCAAGAAAGGGAGUGUCUGGAAAGCAGAUGGACUUGCUCUGGGACUUGCCAUAGCCUAGCCGGUCGGUACGGUACCCACAUAAACACCAGCGUACAGACACUUCAACGCCUCCAGCUGCUUGUCUUUCAAGACUAGACCUGGUUUUCCAACACAGGAUAACACGUACGCGAGAGCAGAAGAGAAGGUAGCAGCCAUUACACAACUUGGACUAGAUUUCUUUUUUCAAUGACAUCAUUAUAAAUGAAACGGAUAUCAAUGUUUUACAAACUAAUGCGGAAUAAGAAUACUGAUAAAUAUACUGCAAUUUACGAUUACCCAGAUUCUGGGUAAUUCUGGCGCAUGCGUAAACAGUGUAUACAGGCCGUCUUUCUCAGCGGCUUGGAAUCGAGGCUAUGUCUCCCCCAUCUCUAGCUAUAGCUCCUGUCCAGAAGUAACACCCUCGCUCGAAGAGUCUCUCAGGAUAAGUUUUCUUUUUUUAUGCCAAUAGUACACUUAUUAAGGUAGCUUCAGUGUUACGGAUUCACUAUAAUUAUUUCGGCACAAAUUGUUUUCUUAGUCUAAUUAUUCGCAUAUAACUUAGGUAAUUUCACAGUUUUGAUUUUCUAAUUAAUGCUCUAAACACGAAAAAUGUGUAACACACCAAAUAAUUUGUAAGAAAUUGUUGUCCUAACCGUUGAUUUCUCCCUUACAGUUGGAUAGGGAUCAAUUGGAUCUGGUCACCUAUAUACAAGCACUCAUCACAGCCACAGGACCGUGCAGUGGGUAUAUACAGAUCAAGAUGUCUUCUCUGCCAAUUCCAUAUGGUAUGCCUACUUUGACUCAACUCUUGUGUUUUGUAUAAUUUUCUGUCACGCAUAUAGAUUUUGUGUUUAUGAUUAUCAAUGCAAACA
Halichondria panicea is the source of this 3945-nucleotide long non-coding RNA. RefSeq lists it as uncharacterized. The transcript is spliced from 2 exons. Lineage: Eukaryota; Metazoa; Porifera; Demospongiae; Suberitida; Halichondriidae. The record is from RefSeq and is a predicted model, not a curated record.